UUAGUACUUCCUCCGUCUCAAAAUAAAUGACUUAAAAAUGACUCAAUUUUGCACUACUUUAGUGCAAAAUUGAGUCACACUUUGAGUCAUUUAUUUUGAAACGGAGGGAGUACUUA
RNAcentral lists this microRNA precursor (116 nucleotides) under Hordeum vulgare. RNAcentral's name for it is "microRNA MIR1122". It matches the Rfam family "MIR1120/MIR1122 microRNA precursor family". The record is from RNAcentral. Lineage: Eukaryota; Viridiplantae; Streptophyta; Magnoliopsida; Poales; Poaceae.